Molecule: ribosomal RNA, 1345 nt
Filed under: metagenome
Description: bacterial SSU rRNA
Rfam family: Bacterial small subunit ribosomal RNA
Source: RNAcentral
AGAGUUUGAUCCUGGCUCAGAGCGAACGUUAGCGGCGGGCCUAACACAUGCAAGUCGAACGAGAAUGUAGACUUCGGUCUACUAGUAAAGUGGCGGACGGGUGCGUAACACGUGGGUAAUCUACCUUCCGGCGGGGGACAACAGUCCGAAAGGAUUGCUAAUACCGCGUACGUCAGCGGCGCCUACGGGCGCUGUUGGGAAAGAUGGCCUCUCCUUGGAAGCUGUCACCGGAAGAUGAGCCCGCGUCCCAUCAGCUAGUUGGUGAGGUAAUGGCUCACCAAGGCAAAGACGGGUAGCUGGUCUGAGAGGAUGAUCAGCCACACUGGGACUGCGACACGGCCCAGACUCCUACGGGAGGCAGCAGUGGGGAAUAUUGGGCAAUGGGCGAAAGCCUGACCCAGCCACGCCGCGUGAGUGAUGAAGGCCUUCGGGUCGUAAAGCUCUGUGGGGAGGGACGAACAAGCCUGGGGCUAAUCACCCGGGCCCUGACGGUACCUCCUUAGCAAGCACCGGCUAACCCUGUGCCAGCAGCCGCGGUAAUACAGGGGGUGCAAACGUUGCUCGGAAUCAUUGGGCGUAAAGCGCACGUAGGCGGUCUGUUAUGUCGGAUGUGAAAGCCCUUGGCUUAACUGAGGAAGUGCAUCCGAAACUGGCAGGCUAGAGUACUAAAGAGGGUCGCGGAAUUCCCGGUGUAGAGGUGAAAUUCGUAGAUAUCGGGAGGAACACCGGUGGCGAAGGCGGCGACCUGGGUAGAUACUGACGCUGAGGUGCGAAAGUGUGGGGAGCAAACAGGAUUAGAUACCCUGGUAGUCCACGCCGUAAACGAUGAGUGCUAGAUGUUUCUGGUAUUGACCCCGGAGGCGUCGUAGCUAACGCGUUAAGCACUCCGCCUGGGGAGUACGGCCGCAAGGCUAAAACUCAAAGGAAUUGACGGGGGCCCGCACAAGCGGUGGAGCAUGUGGUUCAAUUCGACGCAACGCGAAGAACCUUACCUGGGUUGGAACCCUCCAGAAGUCCGCAGAGAUGUGGAUGUGCCCGCAAGGGAAUUGGAUGUCCAGGUGCUGCAUGGCUGUCGUCAGCCCGUGUCGUGAGAUGUUGGGUUAAGUCCCGCAACGAGCGCAACCCUUGUCGUUAGUUGCCAGCGGUUCGGCCGGGCACUCUAACGAGACUGCCGGUGUUAAACCGGAGGAAGGUGGGGAUGACGUCAAGUCCUCAUGGCCCUUAUGCCCAGGGCUACACACGUGCUACAAUGGCCGGUACAAAGGGUUGCUAACCCGCGAGGGUACGCCAAUCCCAAAAAACCGGCCUCAGUUCAGAUUGAAGUCUGCAACUCGACUUCAUGAAG